AACGGCUCCACAUCCAAGGAAGGCAGCAGGCACGCAAAUUACCCACUCCCGGAACGGGGAGGUAGNGACAAAAAAUAACGAUACGGGACUCGAUAUGAGGCCUCGUAAUCGGAAUGAGUACACUCUAAAUCCUUUAACAAAAAUCUAUUGGAGGGCAAGUCUGGUGCCAGCAGCCGCGGUAAUUCCAGCUCCAAUAGCGUAUAUUAAAGUUGUUGCGGUUAAAAAGCUCGUAGUUGGUUCUGCGUCCCGCGCUGUCGGUACACCGUUUGUCGGUGACACUGGCAUGACGCGGGAUGUCCUGUCGGUGGCGGCGGAGACCAUAUCGCCGUCGGCUAACACCGCGGCGUGUUGGCCUUCUGUCGCCGGCUUUAUCCUACCGCGGUGCUCUUCACUGAGUGUCGAGGUAGGCCGACACGUUUACUUUGAACAAAUUAGAGUGCUUAAAGCAGGCAAAAAUCUCUGCCAGAAUAGUGGUGCAUGGAAUAAUGGAACAGGACCUUGGUUCUAUUCUGUUGGUCUCCGGAACACAAGGUAAUGAUCAAUGUGGACAGGCGGGGGCAUUCGUAUUGCGGCGUUAGACUUGGCAAAUGCUUUCGCGGUGAAAUUCUUGGAUCGUCGCAAGACGCACUAGAGCGAAAGCAAUUGCCAAGUAUGUCUUAAUUGAUCAAGAACGAAAGUUAGAGGUUCGAAGGCGAUCAGAUACCGCCCUAGUUCUAACCAUAAACGAUGCCAGCCAGCGAUCCGCCGAUGUUCCUUUGAUGACUCGGCGGGGAGCUUUCCCCGGGAAACCAAAGCUUUUGGGUUCCGGGGGAAGUAUGGUUGCAAAGCUGANNCUUAAAGGAAUUGACGGAAGGGCACCACCAGAAGUGGAGCCUGCGGCUUAAUUUGACUCAACACGGGAAACCUCACCAGGUCAGGACAUUGGAAUGAUUGACAGAUUGAUAGCUCUUUCUUGAUUCAGUGGGUAGUGGUGCAUGGCCGUUCUUAGUUGGUGGAUCGAUUUGUCUGGUUAAUUCCGAUAACGAACGAGACUCUAGCCUAUUAACUAGACGCGUUUGGUAUCGAAUCUACCGGCGAACUAUAUUCUUCUUAAGGGGACAGGCGGCUUUUAGCCGCACGAGAUUGAGCAAUAACAGGUCUGUGAUGCCCUUAGAUGUCCUGGGCCGCACGCGCGCUACACUGAAGGAAUCAGCGUGUGCGUUCCCUUGGCCGAAAGGUCCGGGUAACCCGCUGAACCUCCUUCGUGCUAGGAAUUGGGGCUUGCAAUUGUUCCCCAUGAACGAGGAAUUCCCAGUAAGCGCGAGUCAUAAGCUCGCGUUGAUUACGUCCCUGCCCUUUGUACACACCGCCCGUCGCUACUACCGAUUGAAUGAUUUAGUGAGGUCUUCGGACUGGCGGUAAGCCCAACCGACUCGUCGGUUUUGUCGAACGCUGGAAAGAUGACCAAACUUGAUCAUUUAGAGGAAGUAAAAGUCGUAACAAGGUUUCC
Molecule: ribosomal RNA, 1489 nt
Filed under: Cimex sp. WCW-2003
Lineage: Eukaryota; Metazoa; Arthropoda; Insecta; Hemiptera; Cimicidae
Description: SSU rRNA
Rfam family: Eukaryotic small subunit ribosomal RNA
Source: RNAcentral